GUAUAGACGGAGGCGUGGGGUCAGGAAUGCGUAAAUAUCGUUCUCAGUGUUACGCGCGUGGGCGUAGAUACGUGCGACGGACAGACUGGUCGGUUCUCGCAGGGUUGUGCCCUGGGGGCGGGGAAGGGUACCUUGAUUCAACGGCGAUCGAUUCGGAUCGGAAUUGGCCUGUAUCCGUUCGCCAACGGGACUGGAGGGCGGCGAGGUCGUCGUCGGUCCUGACGGUGUCGUUGGAAGGCUGAUGAGAGGGACAAUGUUCGUCGCAGACGGUACCGAGGGUGUGGUUGGGGCGCUCAUCGUUGUCGUCGGCCGCGGCAACUGGCUGGGUGGUCCUGCUGGAAGGCCUGGAAGACAUGCUCCGAUUAGGAUACUUCCAGGCGAGACCCGUAGCGACGAACAGAGACGAGCAACCGUUCGAGGCCAGGGGCGGGACGUACCUGGCGGCCUCUGAGGACCGGUUUGUACCGGCGGUAUCAAGCUGUUGGGCCUGCUGGGGCCCAUCGGCGGCCUGAUUCUGGCAGCCGCCACGCUGCCAACGGCUCCCGCGCCGAUGCUGAUCUGCAGGCGACUCUGGAAGCCUCGCGGGUCCAGGGACGAACUCGAGUAGGUCAAGCUCGAGCCCUGCGAUCUGAUGUCGAUCGGCGGCUGCGGCUCCGAGGACGGCGGCCUGAGUGUCAGGCUGACGGAGGUGUAGCUUCGCGUGUGAUCGAUCUGCGGCCCGGCGACGUUCUCCACGCUGAGCAACGGGUCCGCGUAGUGUGCCCGUGGAUCGACGAUCAGAUCGGUUCGUUUACAGGCGCCACCGAUCGUGGGCACCGUUCGGAAGUCUAAAGAUCGACGAUUCGGUUUUAACAUUUUCAGGAAUCCCUCUGAAGA
Long non-coding RNA from Nomia melanderi (Alkali bee), 876 nucleotides. RefSeq lists it as uncharacterized. The record is from RefSeq and is a predicted model, not a curated record. Lineage: Eukaryota; Metazoa; Arthropoda; Insecta; Hymenoptera; Halictidae.